RNAcentral lists this transfer RNA (90 nucleotides) under Oceaniovalibus sp. ACAM 378. Its description in RNAcentral is "tRNA-Ser". It matches the Rfam family "tRNA". Rfam says of the family: Transfer RNA (tRNA) molecules are approximately 80 nucleotides in length. Their secondary structure includes four short double-helical elements and three loops (D, anti-codon, and T loops). The record is from RNAcentral. Lineage: Bacteria; Pseudomonadati; Pseudomonadota; Alphaproteobacteria; Rhodobacterales; Roseobacteraceae.
GGAGAGAUGCCGGAGUGGUCGAACGGGGCGGUCUCGAAAACCGUUGAGCGUGCAAGCGUUCCCAGGGUUCGAAUCCCUGUCUCUCCGCCA